CAACAAUUCGUAUAUAGAAAAGAAGUUGUGUGGAUGGAAAUUGAUAAUAAUCGUCCCAGUCAUGCAAUAUAUAUAUAGAUUUUUAUAUUUAUGUAGCUUGAUUAACUAUGAUAAAGUUUUAUAGUUAAAUGAUGUAUGCUAUUUAUACAUUGUUUUGAACAGUAUUUCAUUUAUUUUCAUAUUUCGACUACGGAGAAAAACGUUUGGUGCUCACAUAACUUACCAGAUCUGCGAUACUAAUGACGAGUUUACUUGAAACAAAGAACUAACACCAAUUGAACAUGUUUAGUCUAGACACAGAGUUAACUUUAACGGAACAAGAUCGCUUGAUAUCAACAUCUUUCCUGAUAAUACGUUCAUACAUCAAAGUUUAUUUACACAACACGACAAUAUUGAAAGGUCGUUUCUUCAAGAAAUUGGUAUCAUAAACAGUUGUACAUUGUUUUCUAUAACCUCUAUCAACACAGUAUGACAUGCAUUAUUUCCUUGUGAGAUCUGCUUAUUCAUCUAGCAAAUAAAAUGACAUGUGUUAACCAACUCAAGUGUGCUACGAUAUAUGAAUUAACUUUUACAGAGAGGUUUUUUUAUCCGCACUUAUAUAACAAUGAACUACAGUUAUAAUGAGAUGUUUUCGGAUACCUGCUUUAUUCCGAAUAUACAGACAAAACUAAUUGACUGUCAAAGUAAUAGUUUUACAUUGUUUUAUCUGACUGCCAUUUUGUUUUUUACCAAAGAGUAAUUAUUCAUCAACGUAUUAUAAAUCAUAUUUGUCUAUAAGAUCAGUUGUAAAAAUAUGUGAUUCAUUGGUUACAGCAGCAUUUAGCUUUACAUAAGCACCAUUUAUAUUUAAUUAAAGAUACUAUUAAUGGUUUUUAAAUCGCAUAUUCAAAUUUGGGUGCGUCGGACAUCUGACGGAACACCCGUUAUAGUAGGAGAUAUUAUGGAGAUAAUUGUGCUAAUCGUGAUACAAGCAUGAAAUUUGGUAUAGAGGUUGACUAAACAAUAAUUAAAAAAAAUCAGUUGCUGGCCAUCAAAAAUUUUCAUUUUUUCAAGAUGGCCACCGCUCAUUUUAAAAAUGGCGUCAUAUCCGAUUCGCUACAUUUCGCAAAUCCUUUCAAAGCUUUGCUAUAGGUAUAAUUCAAAGUCCAUUUUGAUAAAACGUAAAUAAUAGUUCCUUAAGUACGAUAAAGCAAUACAUAAAUGACGAAAAAGUGACUUCCGGUUAAAUAAUGGCGGCAAUUACCUUGUACAUUUCGUAAAUCCUUUAAAAGCUGUGUUUUAGGUUUGAUCCAAAGUAAGGUUUGAUAAAACGAAAAUAACAGUUCCUAAAGUACGAUGAAACAAUACAUAAAACACAAAAAAGUUGCAAAAACGUUGAAAACGGCUACAUUUCGUAAGUCCCUUGAAAGCUGUGUUGUAGGUAUAAUCCAAUGCAAGUUUUGAUAUAAGGUAGAUUACUGUUCUUAAAGUACGAUGACACAAUACAUUCACGACCAAAAAGUUACUUCCGGUUCCAAAAUGGCGACAAACACGUUUAAAAUUUCAUUUUUUUUUCAUUUCAUCUAAUUUAAAAGAGAUAUCACUUAAUUUGUUAAGUUCAAAUACCUAGUUUGGUUACAAAAAGGCAGUUUGCAUCCCGUAAUAUUAUCUAACAGUUGCCAACACAAACGCGUACAAGGUAGGCCAGAACGGAAUCGUUUGCAGUCAUCAACAACGCUGGAUUUUUUGCAUCCGCUUUUCAAAAGUUUCUGGUGCAAAUGCAGCCAAAGAAGUUCAUUUUGGUUUUCAACUGUCAGUGUUUUUUUUUCAUUCCAAACCAGUGUUCAUGACUUGGUACAUUGUAUGGGUGCCUGUCGAAUGCACACAUCCGGUUGAGCUCACCUUGAUAUGCUUCUCUUUAGAUGUGAUCCGGAAAACAUCUUGUAGGGGGAAUAGCAUCAUAAGGGCGCUGCUUCCUGACAAAUGAUUCAAAUCGUACUUUGUUAACGAAAAGUGUUGAUGUUGCCGUACAUGAUGCAAGCAAAUGCUUUUAUGAUGUCCAUGUCUCUGUCUUCAUACAAAACUAAAACGAGCAACACCAUCCUUAACAUCUGGAAAUAAUUCCAAUGUCUCACAAGCUGACCUUUUCACUUUCCCACCAAAUGCUAACACAGUGUCACAUUCACAGAAUGCAUGGAAGGAAAUAAUAGCAGUUGCACGAGGACCAAUCACAUUUGAUAUGUCAUAUACAUGAAGCCAUCGAAAGUCUUUAUUCCCUCAAAAACCUAUCCACACGUUGUUCAUAUCUAAUACUGCGAAAGCUGCACUACUAAUCCUACUACAUCUGUAUCGGUACUACUUAAAAUUACUUUUAUCAACCAUUUUCCACAGCAAGCUUAUCAUGGACAAAGAUACGUGUAUCUGCUUGUUCUUGGUUAUAAAGGGAUAUCUGGGAAGUAUCCGUAUUGAAACUACAAAGAACAUUUCACCUUGAGUAACAUAAACAUUUUUGUAAGAAUCUAAAGAAGCAAUUCUGUCGGCAACAAACUUGAAUCAAUCAAUCAUUGUUGUCAUCGUCACUAAGAAACCGACUCCAAAUCCUUGACGUUCUAUUAAAACCAACAACUUUCAGUCUAGCACCAACACCGUGCUUUUUUCGCGGUUCAACCUUUAAAUUAUCAAAUACAAUGUCUUCUCUUCAAUACUUAUCGGUGCAAGAUUUUAUGUGAGACAGUAUGACAUCGAUUGCAUAAUCAUCAAACAGUUUUGCACGUGGUGGUUUGGAAUUGACCAUUGCUGGCCCCCCAAUCGGUAAAUGCGUCAGAAUUUGGAUCAGUUAAUGGCAAAUCGCACAAUGUUUCAAGUAUACCCAUUUGCUGCGAUUUAAUAACUGUUUAAAGUGAAAUUUUGUAGACAAAAACAGAGAAGUAAUUUUGUUUUCAUGGAUAAAGAAAUCUUCCAAGUCAAACUGUUUACUUUGACAAGAAAUGAAAAGUCUAGAAAAGAGAUCGCAAUCACUUUACAUGUUCUUCAGCUUUGGUUUUUGACAUAGCCAUUUCCAGUUUCAUUUUACGGCUACAAUAGGAAGUUUUUCUUUUUUAUCUGGUUAUAGAAAGCAGAUUUUCCUUCGUUUUGCAUUUACUUAAAAAGAUCUUUGAAUUGUUCGGACCCUAUAUCUUGGAGAUUAUAUACAUAUUUCACCUGCCUCCGAGUCAAUCAUUUUCUUAAAAAAAAACUUUUGUACAAAUCUUUCGACUGUUCUAGAAGAAAGUAAAAUCAAAAGAUGGAAAUCGGUCAUCACUUUAGAAAGCCUUUGUCUCUUUUAAAAAAUCCUUUUGUGUUUUCGUAGAGUCUUCAUGAUGUCGUCCAUCUGUUUCAGAAUGUCUAAAACCACUAUUUCGUUCAAAUUCAUCUACCAGUCUACUGACAUCCAUCCAUCCAUCGUCUCAAGGGGAUCUUCGGUGGCACCAACAUCGCCCUUCACAAUUGCAUUAUUCUGUGUUUGUGCCUAAUCAAUCGUGAUAUAAGAAAAAAAACUUGCUGGUUGUACGUACAGUGAAAUUACCAUUGUCACCUUGUUGAUAAUGCUCGUGAAGGGAAGUCAUAUCUCGGAGAUGGGUCCGUAACCGUCAAACAUACUUUUAUAAUCUGGACCAAAAAAAUACGGUAUCAUGCUUGAUAUGGACUGUUUGUGAGUUAUGAUAUCUGACUCAUAAAAUGGGCGUUCCGACGACAGAACAAAAGUUCUUUAUUCACAAUUGAACAACAGAUAUUAAACUGUGUUCGAGAUGACUGUCUUUCCUUGCACCAGUCUAUCAAAAAAUCGAACGACAUAGAGUCAUGAGAUAUAUUUUCUGCUUUAAGCCAUUAAUGGCUAAGGCAAAACAUACGCAGUUAUCUGAUUCGCAUGUCUAGACUUAGGUUCAUUUGAAUAUAUAUAAAAAUAAUAUGACGUUCGAUGUGUAGCAAUGUCGGCUUUAGUGAGGCACAAGUCCAUCCACUUUCAGGCAAUAUAUCCCCAUGAAUUUUAAAACAAGCCAUUUAUGUACUGUCCACUAAAUAAAACGAUAACCUUAUCUUCUCCGUACAAAUCUGGUCAUUCAUACUGAACUUACUUACCUAAUACCAAAAGUGGUUGAUCUGCAGCUAUAAUUGAUGUUUGGCCAGGAUUUUGAAAGAUUAACCACUUUUUUCACCUAUCCAUCGUAUGAUUGAUCUAUUCAACUGAAUGGGCGUGUUUUCAAACAGUGGCAUCAUAGAAGUUACAAUUACUUGAAUAGAAGAGUAUAAUUUUUUAGAGGAAUAAAAUGACGACCACGAUAUGUUUACGAAAUUCAAAUCCUACUCUGUUACAUGAACUAUGAUCUACAUCAGUGUGCCCUGGAAAUAGGUGCAAAUCGCUCUGUAUGUCUAUAAAUAGUUUGCGCAUGCGCAAAAUUGAUAAAAAAGGCAUUUAUUUCAUAACCUUAAAUAAUUUUGUCAAACCAAUUCAUAAUAAAAUUAUAUUUUCGCGCAUGCGCAAACCAUGAAGAGUAAAGUAUUUAUUUCAUUAAAUACGUCAAAUGCAAGGAAUGUCGCCACCAAACCAUAAAAUAUUUUUACUAAAAGAAGGUCAAGGAACACGUUUUGUAGAAAAAUAAGUAUUUUUGAACUCGAAAAAAAUCAUUUUUGAAAAAGGCCGUGGCCAUCUUGAAAAAAUGAUCUUUUUUCAUGGCCAGCAGUUUUUUCUUAAAAAGUAUAUAAUAAUGAUGCUUCGUGCUAAUUUUUAUGCUUGUAUCAUCAUUUGCACAAUUUCAUCGAUUUUGCUUGCUAAUAUCUUCCACUAUUAAAUAAUAAUUGGAAGAUAACAGGCAUCAAGAUCUGUUGAAUGUUACGAAAUCAUAUUCAAAAUUGGGUCUAUUUUUUCUUUAUUGAAUUAGUAGAUGGCUCGUUAUAAUUAAUUACUAUGUCAAGUAUUUUCUUAUAUAUAU
This 4949-nucleotide long non-coding RNA is filed under the name Mytilus galloprovincialis (Mediterranean mussel). The record is from RNAcentral. Lineage: Eukaryota; Metazoa; Mollusca; Bivalvia; Mytilida; Mytilidae.